CGCAGUGCGCAUGCGACAACAUGUCGCCACUCCGCGGAAACAUGCGAUAUUAGUGAUCGAUAGAAAAUAAAGCGCACAAAGCAAAAGUGCGCGUAAAGCUUGGCCAAGCUUGGCGGAGAAGGGAGAGCGAAAGAGAGAGAGAGAGAGCGCGGUGUCCGUUAACGAGCGAAUUUCCCGAUCGGGUGGAAUCCUAGACGCGCGCGAGGAUGGACUUCAACGUGAAGAAGCUGGUGAAGGAUGCGGGAGCCGCCCUCAGCAGAGUCGUGCAGUUAACAGAGGAGACGCUGGGCACCUCGGAAAAAACAGAGUUGGACGCGCACUUAGAGCAUUUAGUGGAGAGAGGAAAUGCCACCAAAACGUGGACAGAGAAGAUACUGCGAAACAUGGAAGCUGUGCUCACUCCGAAUCCUGGCAAUAGGAUCGAAGAUUUCUUCUAUGAAAAGAUUGAUAAGAAGAAACCUAAUAGGCUGAGCAACUUGGAGUAUGUAGGCAUUGAUAUGAUUCAAGCUGGAAACGAUUUUGGUCCAGGAGUAGCUUAUGGCAGCGCGUUAAUAAAGGUUGGCCAAUGCCAGCAGAAGUUGGGACAGGUUGAGAGAGAUUUUAUAGGGAUCGCUGCUAACUGUUACAUACAGCCUUUGAGGAAGUUUCUGGAUGGAGAGAUGAAAACUGUUAGCAAGGAGAUGGCAAUAUUGGAAACUAAAAGAUUGGACUUGGACGCGUGUAAAAACAGAGUGAGAAAAGCGAGAAGUCUGCUGGGCCAACAGAGUGCAGAGAGGGAGUUGAGGGUAGCGCAGUCGGAAUUCGAUCGGCAAGCGGAGAUCGUGAAGCUGCUGCUGGAGGGUGUUUCAAGCUCGCAAGCUGGACACCUGCGAUGCCUGCACGAGUUCGUGGAAGCGCAAGCCCGCCACCACGCCCAGUGUCACGCCGUCAUGCAGGACCUGCAGCGCGAGCUCGCCGGAGCGCGUCAACCGAGUCCUUUGCUGAGAGUCAACAGCGAAGAAGUGAUCGAGCUGACACCCUCGCCUACGCUCCCCGUUAAUUCAUCCGUCUACCCUCAAAGCUCGCCAAUAACCGCCGCCGGUUCCACCACUUACGUUACUGCCACCUUCGACACUGAUAUCAGUAAAGUCUAGCUCGGCUAGGCUCGCCCUCGCCCCGCUCGCUGUGUGACGGCGCAGUCGACAUCGAUGAUGACUCUCCAGAGAGUUUAAUUAGCGAUUCGCGCGAUUGUGGGAGAGAGACGGGCCCAUCCACGACGUCCAGCGUUGUGCGAAGUAUAAACGAGAACGCCGCUUCUUCUUCUCUCUUCAAGGAUCGAUCGGGGUUGCUCCCGCUACGAUAUGCGCGAACUAGAACCUAGUUAGUUGAAAUUAAUCGCUUCAUCGCUGCGCCGGACUCGUCGUCGAGUACAUGGACGUGAUGCUGUAACUUGAACAUGAAACACAGACCUGUACAUAUAUGUCCUACCUGGGGGUCCCUAUUACACCACCCCACCAGCCUCCACCAAUGCAUUAGCAGAGAACGAUCAGGACCGAGCGAGAGUGUUAUGCAAUUACGACGCGAGAGAUCCUAGCGAAUUAAGCGUCGUGCAGGACGAG
Molecule: unclassified non-coding RNA, 1598 nt
Filed under: Harpegnathos saltator (Jerdon's jumping ant)
Lineage: Eukaryota; Metazoa; Arthropoda; Insecta; Hymenoptera; Formicidae
Description: endophilin-B1, transcript variant X6
Source: RNAcentral